Rhinichthys klamathensis goyatoka is the source of this 943-nucleotide long non-coding RNA. RefSeq lists it as uncharacterized. The record is from RefSeq and is a predicted model, not a curated record. The transcript is spliced from 2 exons. Lineage: Eukaryota; Metazoa; Chordata; Actinopteri; Cypriniformes; Leuciscidae.
GUGUGUGUGUGUGGUCUCAGAAUAAACCCCUUCAGGUGUGUGUGUGUGUGUGAUCUAAGAAUAAACCCCUUCAGGUGUGUGUGUGUGUGUGUGUGUGUGUGUGUGUGAUCUCAGAAAAAAACCCUUCAGGUGUGUGUGUGUGUGUGUGAUCUCAGAAUAAACCCCUUCAGGUGUGUGUGUGUGUGUGUGAUCUCAGAAAAAAACCCUUCAGGUGUGUGUGUGUGUGUGUGUGUGUGUGAUCUCAGAAAAAAACCCUUCAGGUGUGUGUGUGUGUGUGUGGUCUCAGAAUAAACCCCUUCAGGUGUGUGUGUGUGUGUGAUCUCAGAAUAAACCCCUUCAGGUGUGUGUGUGUGUGUGUGUGUGUGUGUGUGUGUGUGUGUGUGUGUGUGUGAUCUCAGAAAAAAACCCUUCAGGUGUGUGUGUGUGUGUGUGAUCUCAGAAUAAACCCCUUCAGGUGUGUGUGUGUGUGUGUGAUCUAAGAAUAAACCCCUUCAGGUGUGUGUGUGUGUGUGUGUGUGUGUGUGUGUGUGAUCUCAGAAUAAACCCCUUCAGGUGUGUGUGUGUGAUCUCAGAAUAAACCCCUUCAGGUGUGUGUGUGUGUGAUCUCAGAAUAAACCCCUUCAGGUGUGUGUGUGUGUGUGUGAUCUAAGAAUAAACCCCUUCAGGUGUGUGUGUGUGUGUGUGUGUGAUCUCAGAAUAAACCCCUUCAGGUGUGUGUGUGUGUGUGAUCUCAGAAUAAACCCCUUCAGGUGUGUGUGUGUGUGUGUGUGAUCUCAGAAUAAACCCCUUCAGGUGUGUGUGUGUGUGAUCUCAGAAUAAACCCCUUCAGGUGUGUGUGUGUGUGUGUGUGAUCUCAGAAUAAACCCCUUCAGGUGUGUGUGUGUGUGUGAUCUCAGAAUAAACCCCUUCAGGUGUGUGUGUGUGUGUGUGUGUGUGUGUUCAG